GAACGCUGGCGGCGUGCCUAAUACAUGCAAGUCGAGCGAACGGAUAAGGAGCUUGCUCCUUUGAAGUUAGCGGCGGACGGGUGAGUAACACGUGGGUAACCUACCUAUAAGACUGGAAUAACUUCGGGAAACCGGAGCUAAUGCCGGAUAACAUAUAGAACCGCAUGGUUCUAUAGUGAAAGAUGGUUUUGCUAUCACUUAUAGAUGGACCCGCGCCGUAUUAGCUAGUUGGUAAGGUAAUGGCUUACCAAGGCGACGAUACGUAGCCGACCUGAGAGGGUGAUCGGCCACACUGGAACUGAGACACGGUCCAGACUCCUACGGGAGGCAGCAGUAGGGAAUCUUCCGCAAUGGGCGAAAGCCUGACGGAGCAACGCCGCGUGAGUGAUGAAGGUUUUCGGAUCGUAAAACUCUGUUAUUAGGGAAGAACAAAUGCGUAAGUAACUGUGCGCAUCUUGACGGUACCUAAUCAGAAAGCCACGGCUAACUAC
This 491-nucleotide ribosomal RNA is filed under the name Staphylococcus succinus. RNAcentral describes it as "bacterial SSU rRNA". It matches the Rfam family "Bacterial small subunit ribosomal RNA", at positions 31 to 504 of the family's 1533-position model. Lineage: Bacteria; Bacillati; Bacillota; Bacilli; Caryophanales; Staphylococcaceae. The record is from RNAcentral.